UAGGGAAUAUUGGGCAAUGGGCGAAAGCCUGACCCAGCAACGCCGCGUGCAUGAUGAAGGUCUUCGGAUCGUAAAAUGCUUUUCUGAGAGAUGAGAAAGGACAGUAUCUCAGGAAUAAGUCUCGGCUAACUACGUGCCAGCAGCCGCGGUAAAACGUAGGAGGCAAGCGUUGUCCGGAUUUACUGGGCGUAAAGCGCGUGCAGGCGGUUCGGUAAGUUGGAUGUGAAAGCUCCUGGCUCAACUGGGAGAGGUCGUUCAAUACUACCGGACUUGAGAGCGGUAGAGGGAGGUGGAAUUCCCGGUGUAGUGGUGAAAUGCGUAGAUAUCGGGAGGAACACCAGUGGCGAAAGCGGCCUCCUGGACCGUUUCUGACGCUCAGACGCGAAAGCUAGGGUAGCAAACGGGAUUAGAGACCCCGGUAGUCCUAGCUGUAAACGAUGUGAACUUGGCGUCGGCGGGUUCAAAGCCGUCGGUGCCGAAGCUAACGCGAUAAGUUCACCGCCUGGGGACUACGGCCGCAAGGUUA
RNAcentral lists this ribosomal RNA (526 nucleotides) under uncultured bacterium. RNAcentral's name for it is "bacterial SSU rRNA". It matches the Rfam family "Bacterial small subunit ribosomal RNA", at positions 355 to 896 of the family's 1533-position model. The record is from RNAcentral.